UACGUAGGGAGCAAGCGUUGUUCGGAUUUACUGGGCGUAAAGGGCGCGUAGGCGGCAAAUUAAGUCAGCUGUGAAAUCUCCGAGCUUAACUCGGAACGGUCAGCUGAUACUGAUCUGCUAGAGUGCGGAAGGGGCAAUCGGAAUUCUUGGUGUAGCGGUGAAAUGCGUAGAUAUCAAGAGGAACACCGGAGGUGAAGACGGGUUGCUGGGCCGACACUGACGCUGAGUGCGCGAAAGCCAGGGGAGCAAACGGG
This 254-nucleotide ribosomal RNA is filed under the name uncultured bacterium. RNAcentral's name for it is "partial 16S ribosomal RNA". It matches the Rfam family "Bacterial small subunit ribosomal RNA", at positions 524 to 776 of the family's 1533-position model. The record is from RNAcentral.